GUGGAGUUGGUUCUGUCAUGGAAUCUUGUGUUGGUACUGGAGGCUGAGUUGGUUGGUCACUUGGUGGUUCUUGUGGCUGGGUAGGUUGGUCACUUGGUGCUUCUUGUGGCUGAGGAGGUUGGUCACUUGCUGGUUCUGUUGGUUCUAUGGUGGGUGGACGUAGAGGACAUAUUUUUUUGUUGUGCCCAAAUUGACGAUAGAUGCUACAUUUCUUUCUAUGCCCACCAACAGGCAUCUGGGUUCCAUCCUUGGUUAGCUCCCAUGGGUCCAAUCUUCUUUUCUUCUUUG
Molecule: long non-coding RNA, 288 nt
Filed under: Vigna radiata
Lineage: Eukaryota; Viridiplantae; Streptophyta; Magnoliopsida; Fabales; Fabaceae
Description: long non-coding RNA (VRAD_LNC010903)
Source: RNAcentral